UAGGGAAUCUUUGGCAAUGGACGAAAGUCUGACCGAGCAACGCCGCGUGAGUGAAGAAGGUUUUCGGAUCGUAAAACUCUGUUGUUAGAGAAGAACAAGGACGUUAGUAACUGAACGUCCCCUGACGGUAUCUAACCAGAAAGCCACGGCUAACUACGUGCCAGCAGCCGCGGUAAUACGUAGGUGGCAAGCGUUGUCCGGAUUUAUUGGGCGUAAAGCGAGCGCAGGCGGUUUCUUAAGUCUGAUGUGAAAGCCCCCGGCUCAACCGGGGAGGGUCAUUGGAAACUGGGAGACUUGAGUGCAGAUGAGGAGAGUGGAAUUCCAUGUGUAGCGGUGAAAUGCGUAGAUAUAUGGAGGAACACCAGUGGCGAAGGCGGCUCUCUGGUCUGUAACUGACGCUGAGGCUCGAAAGCGUGGGGAGCAAACAGG
RNAcentral lists this ribosomal RNA (429 nucleotides) under Gemmatimonadota bacterium. RNAcentral describes it as "Gemmatimonadetes bacterium partial 16S ribosomal RNA". It matches the Rfam family "Bacterial small subunit ribosomal RNA", at positions 355 to 776 of the family's 1533-position model. The record is from RNAcentral. Lineage: Bacteria; Pseudomonadati; Gemmatimonadota.